GAUGAAGAACGUAGCGAAAUGCGAUACGUAAUGUGAAUUGCAGAUUUCAGUGAAUCAUCGAAUCUUUGAACGCACAUUGCGCCCGCUAGUAUUCUGGCGGGCAUGCCUGUUCGAGCGUCAUUUCAACCAUCAAGCCCCCGGCUUGCGUUGGAGCCCUGCGGCUGCCGCAGGCUCCCAAAUCCAGUGGCGGGCUCGUCGUCGUACCGAGUGCAGUAAACAUCCUCGCUCAGGGAACGUGACGGGUUCUUGCCGUGAAACCCCCCACAUAUCAAGGUUGACCUCGGGUCAGGUAGGAAUACCCGCUGAACUUAAGCAUAUCAAUAAGCGGAGGA
This 332-nucleotide unclassified non-coding RNA is filed under the name soil metagenome. Its description in RNAcentral is "partial contains 5.8S ribosomal RNA, internal transcribed spacer 2, and large subunit ribosomal RNA". The stretch from base 1 to 120 matches the Rfam family "5.8S ribosomal RNA", at positions 35 to 154 of the family's 154-position model. The record is from RNAcentral.